Molecule: non-coding RNA, 83 nt
Filed under: Modestobacter roseus
Lineage: Bacteria; Bacillati; Actinomycetota; Actinomycetes; Geodermatophilales; Geodermatophilaceae
Also listed under: 2 other names
Description: ZMP/ZTP riboswitch aptamer (pfl RNA motif)
Rfam family: ZMP/ZTP riboswitch aptamer (pfl RNA motif)
About the family: Previously known as pfl RNA.
Source: Rfam by way of RNAcentral
GAACCGGGCCGUGACUGGCGCAGACAGGUGGACGACCACCGGGGAGCGGCUCCGAAGCCGUGCCGCGCGCCUGGGCUCCCCGU